UACAGGCUGAUAACUCGCAGG
RNAcentral lists this non-coding RNA (21 nucleotides) under Caenorhabditis elegans. The record is from RNAcentral. Lineage: Eukaryota; Metazoa; Nematoda; Chromadorea; Rhabditida; Rhabditidae.